AGGAGGAACAACCCCAGUGGCGGGGCCAGCUCUGGAGCCCUGGAGUCAGCCCCCGCAGUAACUCCGGAGCUCUCGGUCUGCAGGGCCUGGAGGCUCCGGGGCGGG
Molecule: microRNA precursor, 105 nt
Filed under: Canis lupus familiaris (dog)
Lineage: Eukaryota; Metazoa; Chordata; Mammalia; Carnivora; Canidae
Also listed under: 1 other name
Description: mir-8834 microRNA precursor family
Rfam family: mir-8834 microRNA precursor family
Source: Rfam by way of RNAcentral